GAGGCAAGACCGGGGAGCCGCGAGGCUGAGAGGGCGCCGCGCGGGCGCCGACCCGUUGAACCUGAUCCGGGUAAUGCCGGCGCAGGGAGAUUCUCGGAUGGCUUC
This 105-nucleotide non-coding RNA is filed under the name Rubrobacter xylanophilus. RNAcentral's name for it is "TPP sequence". It matches the Rfam family "TPP riboswitch aptamer (THI element)". From Rfam's summary of the family: Vitamin B(1) in its active form thiamin pyrophosphate (TPP) is an essential coenzyme that is synthesised by coupling of pyrimidine and thiazole moieties in bacteria. The previously detected thiamin-regulatory element, thi box was extended, resulting in a new, highly conserved RNA secondary structure, the THI element, which is widely distributed in eubacteria and also occurs in some archaea. Analysis of operon structures identified a large number of new candidate thiamin-regulated genes, mostly transporters, in various prokaryotic organisms. RNAcentral also lists the same sequence under 1 other name. Lineage: Bacteria; Bacillati; Actinomycetota; Rubrobacteria; Rubrobacterales; Rubrobacteraceae. The record is from RNAcentral.